GUGGGGAAUCUUGCGCAAUGGCCUAACGGCUGACGCAGCGACGCCGCGUGUGGGAUGAAGCUCUUCGGAGUGUAAACCACUGUUGCCCGGGACGAAUAGCUCGAUUAAUCGAGCCUGACAGUACCGGGUGAGGAAGCACCGGCUAACUCCGUGCCAGCAGCCGCGGUAAUACGGGGGGUGCGAGCGUUGUCCGGAAUCACUGGGCGUAAAGGGCGCGUAGGUGGUUUGAUAAGGGUGUGGUGAAAGUCCGGGGCUCAACCCCGGAUCUGCCGUGCCGACUGUCAAACUCGAGGGCUGUAGAGGCAGGCGGAAUUCCGGGUGUAGCGGUGGAAUGCGUAGAGAUCCGGAGGAAGACCGGUGGCGAAGGCGGCCUGCUGGGCAGUUUCUGACACUGAUGCGCGACAGCGUGGGGAGCAAACAGGAUUAGAAACCCUAGUAGUCC
Molecule: ribosomal RNA, 442 nt
Filed under: uncultured bacterium
Lineage: Bacteria
Description: bacterial SSU rRNA
Rfam family: Bacterial small subunit ribosomal RNA
Source: RNAcentral